Molecule: long non-coding RNA, 201 nt
Filed under: Mytilus galloprovincialis (Mediterranean mussel)
Lineage: Eukaryota; Metazoa; Mollusca; Bivalvia; Mytilida; Mytilidae
Source: RNAcentral
CAUCAUACCAGUGUUGGAAAUUGUAGAGAGACUGAAACAAAUUUAUUACAUUUGAAUUAACAUUGCAAUAAUGUCAGACACUCUGACAGUAAAUAUACUGUUAAGGUCUGGUAAAAUACUUCUUAAAGUCAGGUUUCAAUGUUAACAAAUAAUUGUUAUGUUGGUCACACAAUUUUUACCAGGGAUAAGAAACAGGGCCAA